Molecule: non-coding RNA, 731 nt
Organism: Triticum urartu
Lineage: Eukaryota; Viridiplantae; Streptophyta; Magnoliopsida; Poales; Poaceae
Source: RefSeq, a predicted model, not a curated record
CAAGGUACGAUCAUCAGUUAGUGUCUACAAUCUUCUUUCUCGGAAAAUAGGGGAUUUAUAUCAGCGUGCCAUCACUGCAAGGAAUCAACACCAUCUCAACGGCGGCAACAGCGGAUACAGAACAACUGAUGCGGCCUGAAGUGGACCUCAUUCAACCUUAAUUCCAGGAUAACUUUUCUUUUUGUUGCUCAAUAAAAGGAAUAUCCCUCUUCGUAAAUCUAUUAUUUCGCUUUCCCAUGAAGCUGUAGUUCUCUCCAAAUAAUUUUGAGAUUACACUAAGCAGAAGCUGCUAAACAUGCUGUGGAAGCUGAUGCAAAAUCAAACAGUAAAGUGGAGGUUGCUCUGUGUUGCCAUUGUUGUAUGAAUAUAAUGCGACCUUCUGCUAUUGUAUGAAGAAAAGUAUGUGCAUAACUGCAUACUUGCAGGAAUAGAAGAUAGAUAAAUAUGACCUUGCGUACAGAUUGUUGUGUAGAUAAAACUGACCUUGCUUACAGAUUUUGUUGUAUGUAUUUUUUUUGUAUAGUUGACCGAGAUAGAUAGAAUAUGGUAGAAGAAAGAGGUGCAGAUUGUUGUAUGGCCAUAUUGUACAUGGUGAUCAUUGUUGUAUUUAUUUUACAUAGAUAGAAUAAUGAUGUAGAUAUAGAGGGUUUUCGCAUAUGUACCAAUUUUCAUAGGAACUAUGAUUAUGUAUGACUGGUAUAUGGUGCACAAAUCAGUCAUAUACUCAUUUA